Girardinichthys multiradiatus is the source of this 604-nucleotide long non-coding RNA. RefSeq lists it as uncharacterized. NCBI's taxonomy places the organism in Eukaryota, Metazoa, Chordata, Actinopteri, Cyprinodontiformes, Goodeidae. The transcript is spliced from 3 exons. The record is from RefSeq and is a predicted model, not a curated record.
CAACAUUUAAUUUGUGAUGUAAUUCAGGGAUCGAGAACUGCUUUGGAAAAGAUUGUAACACUAACCAGGUCUGAAGCAGUGAAACACACAGAGUAGCUAGAUGGAGGACAGGGUGUGACUGGCAGGUGCUCCUCCACAGCUGCAGGUCAUUAACAGCAAUUAGGAGAAGCAUGAAGAGUUGCAGCUUCCUCGAGGCUGAUGUCAGAUUGCUUUUGCUCCCCAGCUUGACAGUGCCUCUUGUUCUGACCCAAGUGCCUAUGCUGAUUUCCUUGCACACCCUCCUAUGGAUUCCAGAUGAGAUAUCCUGGAUUGUGAUUCAGUGUACCGGCUUGCUGCUUCCCUGGGUACUCUACUGUUGCUAGCUGCUGGAGCUAGAUGUCUCUCGCUCUCCUGCCUGUCAACUCUCCCACGCUUCACGCUAAACUCGAGACACCAGCCACUACCAAACGUCAGCCUACAGCCCUCUAACGACCAUCUCUGAUGAUCGCUUCACCUUCUCCAGUACGCUUCCUCUUGUCAUUCACAUGCUCCCCCAUGAGGCCCAUGUGGGAUCCACCCUGAAACUCUGUGUUCUCACCUGUUUAAUAAACCUGAUUCAACUGAC